UAAGUCAAGUCCUACGAUGCCGCCCAAACAAGUUAACGUGCUGGGAGUUAGCGGCGGAGGAAGAUGCUAGCAAGUAGCAGCUAGCUCGCAGUAAAGAUGGAACUUCUCGACCACUUGAAGGAAAGCCACAAAGGCACAAGUACAACUGGCAUCAACUUUAAUGGAACGCGUCGACUCUCGGCAGAUCGGAGAUGACAUUUAAGCUGCCGGCGCCGGGAAGAUAAAUUGGGAAAAAUGGCCCCGUGAUGAGAACAAGGGAGGGAUGUUGAGGAAUUUGAUCAGCGGACCGUCUUCCAGCUGUGGCGGAUCGCCGGCCGUCCUUUUAUCCCUUCUGACCGCUGCCAUCAAUCAGGAAGGACUCGCAUCCACAAAAGGCCAACUUAGCCCCUCGACCCCAAAAUCCACUUUGCUGCAUAUGUAACACCGGGUUUGCCGAGUCGUCCAUUUGCAGAAUUGGUAGUGGUUCUACAUUUUAAAAUCAAUCAUUUAAAAAACUUUUUUUUUUUUU
This is a long non-coding RNA of Phyllopteryx taeniolatus (common seadragon), 508 nucleotides long. RefSeq lists it as uncharacterized. The record is from RefSeq and is a predicted model, not a curated record. The transcript is spliced from 3 exons. NCBI's taxonomy places the organism in Eukaryota, Metazoa, Chordata, Actinopteri, Syngnathiformes, Syngnathidae.